UACCUGGUUGAUCCUGCCAGUAGCAUA
This 27-nucleotide non-coding RNA is filed under the name Drosophila yakuba. RNAcentral also lists the same sequence under 9 other names. The record is from RNAcentral. Lineage: Eukaryota; Metazoa; Arthropoda; Insecta; Diptera; Drosophilidae.